GUCAUGGGGGAGGUGGUGGCGCUUGGUGGCCACUGGCGGCCGAGGUAGAGGCAGUGGCGCUUGAGUUGGUCGGGGGCAGCGGCAGAUUUGAGGCUUAAGCAACUUCUUCCGGGGAAGAGUGCCAGUGCAGCCACUGUUACAAUUCAAGAUCUUGAUCUAUAUCCAUAGAUUGGAAUAUUGGUGGGCCAGCAAUCCUCAGACGCCUCACUUAGGACAAAUGAGGAAACUGAGGCUUGGUGAAGUUACGAAACUUGUCCAAAAUCACACAACUUGUAAAGGGCACAGCCAAGAUUCAGAGCCAGGCUGUAAAAAUUAAAAUGAACAAAUUACGGCAAAGUUUUAGGAGAAAGAAGGAUGUUUAUGUUCCAGAGGCCAGUCGUCCACAUCAGUGGCAGACAGAUGAAGAAGGCGUUCGCACCGGAAAAUGUAGCUUCCCGGUUAAGCCCUAACUUUUCCUUCUUUCUACAGUACCUUGGCCAUGUAGAAGUUGAUGAAUCAAGAGGAAUGCACAUCUGUGAAGAUGCUGUAAAAAGAUUGAAAGCUACUGGAAAGAAAGCAGUUAAAGCAG
This 568-nucleotide long non-coding RNA is filed under the name Homo sapiens (human). Its description in RNAcentral is "non-protein coding lnc-NUMB-1:10". The record is from RNAcentral. Lineage: Eukaryota; Metazoa; Chordata; Mammalia; Primates; Hominidae.